CCUCCUCCUCCUCCUCCUCCUCCUCCUCCUCCUCCUCCUCCCCCCCUCCCCUCCCUCCUCCCUCCGCCCGCCCUCCCUCCCUCGCGCUCUCUCUCGCGCUCGCUUGCUCGCUCCAGUAUGUAAAUGUGUAAUAGAAGCCAAAUAUGGAGCAGUUGGCUGCCGCCGCCGCAGCUCAAGGAUCCGACUUCGGGGGGGUGGGGGGGCACCCUCUGGCAGGCGGCCCGGCGAGCCGCACAGAGCACGGCGAGCGCACGGCGCGGCUGCCGGCCGGCGCCCUUAACCCUUCGGUGCACCCGGCUGGAGCGCCGGUCCCUCCCUCCGGGGGAGGCCCGGGGCCUCUCCGCGACCGCGGCUCCGGAUCCCCGACCCCGGCCGGCCGGAGGGGGACUGUGCCUUCCAGCCGGGGACCUCCAGACCCUCCUCCCUUGAUGCUACAGGAGGUCUAGCAAUCCGCCGCGGGAAUCGAACGCGUCAGCCCUAGCCCCGGGUAGCCAGCCCGCUCGCUCCUCUCGCACCCAUCGCACC
RNA transcript from Meriones unguiculatus (Mongolian gerbil), 525 nucleotides. It is a transcript of the gene named skin secretory protein xP2-like, with no coding region annotated. Lineage: Eukaryota; Metazoa; Chordata; Mammalia; Rodentia; Muridae. The record is from RefSeq and is a predicted model, not a curated record. The transcript has 2 exons.